Molecule: non-coding RNA, 305 nt
Filed under: Thiorhodovibrio sp.
Lineage: Bacteria; Pseudomonadati; Pseudomonadota; Gammaproteobacteria; Chromatiales; Chromatiaceae
Also listed under: 1 other name
Source: RNAcentral
UUCGCACCUUUUUACUCGGGCUUUGCCCUUGAUGAAAAGAACAAGCGGAUUGAAACGGGAAGCCGGUUCAGUGGUGGUUGUUUCAAGCAACAAUAACACCGCGAGUCCGGCGCUGCCCCCGCAACGGUAGGCGAGUUGUGAUCGCGACAGAUGCCACUGUGGUUGGCCAGGCCCAUUGUUUGGGUUCUGGUAGCCCCAUGGGAAGGCGUCGCAAUCCGGAUACCACAGGCCAGUGAUGUUCUCGCAUCAUUGCCCCUGGCCUCCAGCUCGUGAGCCCGGAGACCGGCCUGCGUCUGCUGUGCGGC